This 613-nucleotide ribosomal RNA is filed under the name uncultured bacterium. RNAcentral describes it as "bacterial SSU rRNA". The stretch from base 1 to 520 matches the Rfam family "Bacterial small subunit ribosomal RNA", at positions 338 to 873 of the family's 1533-position model. The record is from RNAcentral.
CCUACGGGAGGCAGCAGUGGGGAAUAUUGGGCAAUGGGCGAAAGCCUGACCCAGCGACGCCGCGUGAGGGACGAAGGCCUUCGGGUUGUAAACCUCUUUCAGCAGGGAAGAAGCGAAAGUGACGGUACCUGCAGAAGAAGCACCGGCUAACUACGUGCCAGCAGCCGCGGUAAUACGUAGGGUGCAAGCGUUGUCCGGAAUUAUUGGGCGUAAAGAGCUCGUAGGUGGUUUGCCACGUCGGAUGUGAAAACCUGAGGCUUAACCUCAGGCCUGCAUUCGAUACGGGCAGACUAGAGUGUGGUAGGGGAGACUGGAAUUCCUGGUGUAGCGGUGAAAUGCGCAGAUAUCAGGAGGAACACCGGUGGCGAAGGCGGGUCUCUGGGCCAUAACUGACACUGAGGAGCGAAAGCGUGGGGAGCAAACAGGAUUAGAUACCCUGGUAGUCCACGCCGUAAACGGUGGGCACUAGAUGUGGGGACCUUCCACGGUCUCUGCGUCGCNGCUACGCAUAGUGCCCGCCGUCGGGUAGGUACGGCCGGCGACGGACGUAAACCGUACAACUAGAAGUUAGACGGCGUGAGACGUGCCGACGGACGACGACGAGGGAGGUAGG